This 433-nucleotide ribosomal RNA is filed under the name uncultured bacterium. RNAcentral's name for it is "partial 16S ribosomal RNA". It matches the Rfam family "Bacterial small subunit ribosomal RNA", at positions 29 to 507 of the family's 1533-position model. The record is from RNAcentral.
AACGAACGCUGGCGGCAUGCCUAACACAUGCAAGUCGAACGAGACCUUCGGGUCUAGUGGCGCACGGGUGCGUAACGCGUGGGAACCUGCCCUUAGGUUCGGAAUAACUCCCCGAAAGGGGUUCUAAUACCGGAUAAUGUCUUCGGACCAAAGAUUUAUCGCCUUUGGAUGGGCCCGCGUUGGAUUAGCUAGUUGGUAGGGUAAAAGCCUACCAAGGCGACGAUCCAUAGCUGGUCUGAGAGGAUGAUCAGCCACACUGGGACUGAGACACGGCCCAGAAUCCUACGGGAGGAAGCAGUGGGGAAUAUUGGAAAAUGGGCGAAAGCAUGAUCCAGCAAUGCCGCGUGAGUGAUGGAGGCCUUAGGGUUGUAAAGCUCUUUUACACGGGAUGAUAAUGACAGUACCGGGAGAAUAAGCUCCGGCUAACUACGUG